GGCCAUAGUGGGUGAUAGCCCUGUACGCGAAAAUCCCUUUGCAAUGAAAUCGAGUAGGACGGGGCACGAGAAACCUUGUCUGAAUAUGGGGGGACCAUCCUCCAAGGCUAAAUACUACUGACUGACCGAUAGUGAACCAGUACCGUGAGGGAAAGGCGAAAAGAACCGCGGAGAGCGGAGUGAAAUAGAUCCUGAAACCGUAUGCGUACAAGCAGUGGGAGCCCACUUUGUUGGGUGACUGCGUACCUUUUGUAUAAUGGGUCAGCGACUUAUUUUCAGUGGCGAGCUUAACCGAAUAGGGGAGGCGUAGCGAAAGCGAGUCUUAAUAGGGCGUCUAGUCGCUGGGAAUAGACCCGAAACCGGGCGAUCUAUCCAUGGGCAGGUUGAAGGUUGGGUAACACUAACUGGAGGACCGAACCGACUACCGUUGAAAAGUUAGCGGAUGACCUGUGGAUCGGAGUGAAAGGCUAAUCAAGCUCGGAGAUAGCUGGUUCUCCUCGAAAGCUAUUUAGGUAGCGCCUCAUGUAUCACUGUAGGGGGUAGAGCACUGUUUCGGCUAGGGGGUCAUCCCGACUUACCAAACCGAUGCAAACUCCGAAUACCUACAAGUGCCGAGCAUGGGAGACACACGGCGGGUGCUAACGUCCGUCGUGAAAAGGGAAACAACCCAGACCGUCAGCUAAGGUCCCAAAGUCAUGGUUAAGUGGGAAACGAUGUGGGAAGGCUUAGACAGCUAGGAGGUUGGCUUAGAAGCAGCCACCCUUUAAAGAAAGCGUAAUAGCUCACUAGUCGAGUCGGCCUGCGCGGAAGAUGUAACGGGGCUCAAACCAUGCACCGAAGCUACGGGUAUCAUCUUAGGAUGAUGCGGUAGAGGAGCGUUCUGUAAGCCUGUGAAGGUGAGUUGAGAAGCUUGCUGGAGGUAUCAGAAGUGCGAAUGCUGACAUGAGUAACGACAAUGGGUGUGAAAAACACCCACGCCGAAAGACCAAGGUUUCCUGCGCAACGUUAAUCGACGCAGGGUUAGUCGGUCCCUAAGGCGAGGCUGAAAAGCGUAGUCGAUGGAAAACAGGUUAAUAUUCCUGUACUUCUGGUUAUUGCGAUGGAGGGACGGAGAAGGCUAGGCCAGCCUGGCGUUGGUUGUCCAGGUUUAAGGUGGUAGGCUGAGAUCUUAGGUAAAUCCGGGAUCUCAAGGCCGAGAGCUGAUGACGAGUGUUCUUUUAGAACACGAAGUGGUUGAUGCCAUGCUUCCAAGAAAAGCUUCUAAGCUUCAGGUAACCAGGAACCGUACCCCAAACCGACACAGGUGGUUGGGUAGAGAAUACCAAGGCGCUUGAGAGAACUCGGGUGAAGGAACUAGGCAAAAUGGCACCGUAACUUCGGGAGAAGGUGCGCCGGUGGAGGUGAAGCAUUUACUGCGUAAGCCCCUGCCGGUCGAAGAUACCAGGCCGCUGCGACUGUUUAUUAAAAACACAGCACUCUGCAAACACGAAAGUGGACGUAUAGGGUGUGACGCCUGCCCGGUGCCGGAAGGUUAAUUGAUGGGGUUAGCGCAAGCGAAGCUCUUGAUCGAAGCCCCGGUAAACGGCGGCCGUAACUAUAACGGUCCUAAGGUAGCGAAAUUCCUUGUCGGGUAAGUUCCGACCUGCACGAAUGGCGUAACGAUGGCGGCGCUGUCUCCACCCGAGACUCAGUGAAAUUGAAAUCGCUGUGAAGAUGCAGUGUAUCCGCGGCUAGACGGAAAGACCCCGUGAACCUUUACUAUAGCUUUGCACUGGACUUUGAAUUUGCUUGUGUAGGAUAGGUGGGAGGCUUUGAAGCGUCGACGCCAGUCUGCGUGGAGCCAACCUUGAAAUACCACCCUGGCAACUUUGAGGUUCUAACUCAGGUCCGUUAUCCGGAUCGAGGACAGUGUAUGGUGGGUAGUUUGACUGGGGCGGUCUCCUCCUAAAGAGUAACGGAGGAGUACGAAGGUGCGCUCAGACCGGUCGGAAAUCGGUCGUAGAGUAUAAAGGCAAAAGCGCGCUUGACUGCGAGACAGACACGUCGAGCAGGUACGAAAGUAGGUCUUAGUGAUCCGGUGGUUCUGUAUGGAAGGGCCAUCGCUCAACGGAUAAAAGGUACUCCGGGGAUAACAGGCUGAUACCGCCCAAGAGUUCAUAUCGACGGCGGUGUUUGGCACCUCGAUGUCGGCUCAUCACAUCCUGGGGCUGAAGCCGGUCCCAAGGGUAUGGCUGUUCGCCAUUUAAAGUGGUACGCGAGCUGGGUUUAGAACGUCGUGAGACAGUUCGGUCCCUAUCUGCCGUGGACGUUUGAGAUUUGAGAGGGGCUGCUCCUAGUACGAGAGGACCGGAGUGGACGAACCUCUGGUGUUCCGGUUGUCACGCCAGUGGCAUUGCCGGGUAGCUAUGUUCGGAAAAGAUAACCGCUGAAAGCAUCUAAGCGGGAAACUUGCCUCAAGAUGAGAUCUCACUGGAACCUUGAGUUCCCUGAAGGGCCGUCGAAGACUACGACGUUGAUAGGUUGGGUGUGUAAGCGCUGUGAGGCGUUGAGCUAACCAAUACUAAUUGCCCGUGAGGCUUGACCAUAUAACACCCAAGCAAUU
This 2602-nucleotide ribosomal RNA is filed under the name Pseudomonas congelans. RNAcentral describes it as "bacterial LSU rRNA". It matches the Rfam family "Bacterial large subunit ribosomal RNA", at positions 353 to 2925 of the family's 2925-position model. Lineage: Bacteria; Pseudomonadati; Pseudomonadota; Gammaproteobacteria; Pseudomonadales; Pseudomonadaceae. The record is from RNAcentral.